UCCGAGCGAUCUGUCGCUGACUCGCUUCACUCGGAAAGAAAAAUGCAUCGCUCUAGGGAUCCAAACGAGGCAUUGAUACAAGCAGGAUGCGGCGGCGCCGGCGCCGGCGGUCGUCGUUGAUGCAGCCGAGGCGUCGAUCCAGUCCAGCGGAGGCGCGGUUGGGGAUCAAGCUUGCGAGGGGAUCCGGCGCGGGAGGGACGCGAGGCGCUCGAGCGACAUCGAUGGUGGCGAUGGGGUAAGAUCUGUGGCACGUGUUCGGCAGUCAUGCUCCUCUUUCCCUUGCCCUGCGCCAAGGGAUGGCAAAGAGGAGGAGGCUACUUCGUGGAUGGGCAAUGGUGUAUGGUGGCUGUGCUGAUGGUGCGCGUGAGGGGAUUGAGGCCACGAGCGACGGUUCCAGGCCUCCAGCACGAGGCACUGCCUCCGUAACCUAAUGCCUCCCUCCGUGUCUCCUUGAUCGGCACACCACACCAUCGUAGGCCUCCCCUCGCCUCUCCCAUCCGCUAGCGCACAAGCACAACGGCAGGCACCUCCGGAUCCUAUCUCCCUUCCCUCGUCCGGACGGUAGGUGUCCAAAUUUUCUGAGAGCUGAGAUAGGCGGCCAUGGGAGUCGAUGCUCAAAGUGAACUUGGGGAGCCGGAUUUCCUCCCUGGUCCGGUUGAUUGUUUUGGGCCUGAUGAUGAUGACGUUUUUCAGCUGACAUGAACAUGGUGUUCUUGAUGUGGAUGAUGUAGCAGGCAAUGGCCACACCGGCCAAGGGUCACAUGAGCAAGUGAACCAGACACUCCUACUGGGGACGGCUCAGAUGCUAGAAGACAUAUGUUAUCAUAUUAUAGGCUCAUCUUCGCUGUUAUAAGUACCACACACAACAUAUGACAUCUCAUAUUACGCCUACACAGGCAAUUAUAACAUGUGUUCCUAAUAUCAUAUGUGCCAAGAACACAAACAGUAGUAGAUAUGGGACUUGCUGUGUCCAAAGCACUGUCCAUUUUUGCGAAAAGGAGUCCCUCAAGAAUCCUCUGAAUAUAAUCUCUUACUGUAUCGAUUCCUUUUUUACUGCUAUCAUAAAAUAAAGUCUGUAGCUACAGUUGCUUGAGUACAGCUCAUGUUUCAGUUAUGGACAUGUGGUUUAUGCGUCUUGGCCAUGUUCUAAAAUUCUAGGGAUGUAAAAAGUGAUCAUCAUAACCAAAUUUCUCAUCUAUGAAAGUUAAGUUAAUCUAUACCCAUGUGACGUUCUUAACCUAAUAUUCUUAGCACUUAAUUUGUAGGCCAGCAGUCAUAUACCCUAGAAAGUUUAUUCAUGGUGCAUUACAACAAUUUUUUAUGUAGUAGGUAGUACAGUAGUAGUAUCUUAUCUUUGCAUAUGUUCUAUCUGAAACCAAUUUGUCAGUAUGUAUGUUUUCCUAUGAUUACAUCUCUAAUUAGUGUACUUUCUUAAAUAAUUUAUCUGCUAAUGUUUAUCCCUUUUUUGUGAGCAGACAUGUCUUCGUGAUCAUCUGUACAUAUGCUAAUGGCAGCUUUAGCAUUGCAAAUCAACCUUUAUAUUUGUAUCAUUAAUUUGCAGUGCAUAGUUUGUGAUUUAAUCAUUCACCCAACUGGUAGGAUCUGAAUCCGGAGGACUCCAUACCAUGGCAUUUAAUCUUCUUACAUGUUGGAAUUUUCAUGCAACAACUGAUGGUAAAGAUUGUGUGGCUAAAUUGGUCGUACUCACAUGAACAAUUAGUUGCACCUUUUGUCUUCUGGCUCCUAAAAUUGACGUCUAGAGAUGAUACCCAAAUUUUGCAGGCUGACAAAAAACGUUAUAGUUUAAUUGAAGGGAGAAUGGAAAUUUCAAUAUUGGCAUCCGUAUAUAAAGCCUUCUAUGUCUUUUUUUAAGGUCACAAACAAGAAAACAUGCAGUCAUCUAUGCUGAUGCUACACGAUUGACGCUUGUGGCCGCCGGCUGGGGGCUGUUCAGGAAAACGAAAAUGGUGGCGUGCAAGGACAACCAAGGAGAUCACAUCCACCUACUUUUGGCUGUUUGUGUGAGUAGAUGGCUUCACCUUGGCUUGCUCUGAGUAUUGCAACGUUGGUUAUUACUCUCCCCUUUGUUAAAAUCUAAGUGCAGGUCUCUCUUCUCUGGCGAGUCAUUCCAAUCAUUCCGUUGGGGCUCUGCAUCCCAUCUGAAUGGGUACAUUACCCAUCCAGAAUCAGCCAUCAGCUCUGCUCCGUGUGGUAGUCCAUCGCUGAAUUGUAUUGUCCUUUGCUUCUGGGUAUAGAACUACAUAUCACAUGGACCUCUCCCUGGAAGCAAGCAAUCAUCUUUGACUCUUCUUCUCUCAUGGAUGAGCGACCACCUGAAGGUGCUUCGGUAUAGUUCUUCCAUUCUUCAAUGAAAUAUUACAUUGACUUUCCAUGGCCUGGAAGAAAAAGACUGUAGUUAAUUUCUGUGGUUGAGAUAAUUACUACAAAAGGUGUUGGUCUUUUGGUCAGGCUGCAGAUUUGGCUAUUUAUGUAUGUUAUUUUAUAAAUUGUAUCUGGUGUUUGCAAAUAGUUGACAUGUUGGCAUUUUUUCUAAGACACAUGAAGUGGAGUUUUGACCUC
RNA transcript from Triticum aestivum (bread wheat), 2580 nucleotides. RefSeq lists it as uncharacterized. The transcript is spliced from 4 exons. The record is from RefSeq and is a predicted model, not a curated record. Lineage: Eukaryota; Viridiplantae; Streptophyta; Magnoliopsida; Poales; Poaceae.